This 68-nucleotide microRNA precursor is filed under the name Eptatretus burgeri (inshore hagfish). Its description in RNAcentral is "Ebu-Let-7-P1e_pre stem-loop". Lineage: Eukaryota; Metazoa; Chordata; Myxini; Myxiniformes; Myxinidae. The record is from RNAcentral.
UGAGGUAGUAGGUUGUAUAGUUCACAGUCACACCCAACGGAGGUAACUGUACAACCUUCUAGCUUUCC